This is a non-coding RNA of Hydra vulgaris (swiftwater hydra), 177 nucleotides long. NCBI's taxonomy places the organism in Eukaryota, Metazoa, Cnidaria, Hydrozoa, Anthoathecata, Hydridae. The record is from RefSeq and is a predicted model, not a curated record.
AAAAAAAAGUAGAUCGUCAUGCCGUGAUGAACAAUCUAAUGAUUCUUCGUCCUCAUCUCCUAAAAUAAAGAAAAUAUUGACCUCUAAAUGUAGCCCAGCAAAACAAAACCAAAUGAUAAAGAAUUCCAGUAUAUCACAUGAAAACUCCAGAAAAAAUUUAAGCGAAGAUGAAAUAAA